GCCAGGCAUGGUGGCGCAUGCCUGUAAUCUCAGCUACUCGGGAGGCUGAGGCAGAAGAAUCGCUUGAACCCAGGAGGUGGAGGUUGCAGUGGGCCAAGAUCAUGCCACUGCACUGCAGCCUGGGUGACAGAGUGAGAUUCCGUCUCAA
RNAcentral lists this small RNA (148 nucleotides) under Pongo abelii (Sumatran orangutan). RNAcentral describes it as "Metazoan signal recognition particle RNA (ENSPPYG00000036799.1)". Lineage: Eukaryota; Metazoa; Chordata; Mammalia; Primates; Hominidae. The record is from Rfam by way of RNAcentral.